UACAGAGGGUGCAAGCGUUGUUCGGAAUUAUUGGGCGUAAAGCGCGUGUAGGCGGUUGCCCAAGUCGGGUGUGAAAGCCUUGAGCUCAACUCAAGAAAUGCACUCGGUACUGGGUGACUAGAGGACCGGAGAGGAUAGUGGAAUUCCCAGUGUAGUGGUGAAAUACGUAGAGAUUGGGAAGAACACCAGUGGCGAAGGCGGCUAUCUGGACGGUUUCUGACGCUAAGACGCGAAAGCGUGGGGAGCAAACAGG
Molecule: ribosomal RNA, 253 nt
Filed under: uncultured bacterium
Lineage: Bacteria
Description: partial 16S ribosomal RNA
Rfam family: Bacterial small subunit ribosomal RNA
Source: RNAcentral